CAAUCAGGAAGCCUGAUGUGGGACUCGAUCCCAGGACUCCAGGAUCACGCCCUGAGCCAGAGGCAGAUGCCCAACUGCUGAGCCACCCAGGCGUCCCUUGACUAUGAUUUUGAUUUAAUCAUUUUUGAUGAUGGUGUCUUCAAGUUCUUGAUGAUCACCAUCAACGAGAAACUUUGCUUACACAAGUAAACAAUAAAUUCACAAAAUUACUUGUUUCACAGUCCUCUGUUGUGUACCUCCUCCAGCUCUAUUCUAGCCUCUCUACUUGCCCAGCUGUGCUCCAUGGACAUCUAGAACCUUGCAUAGAAGAGCUAUGGUACAUCCAUGCAGCCAGAGAGUAAUAAGGUUGAGCAGCCAUUCUUUAAGGAUGAACAAAAAGUUUGAUCCAAAGACUGAGGAAAGAAACAGAGGAUCCAAGAGAUCUUAUGAAAAAAUACCUUGGUGCUCUUCUUUUAGGGAAGGUUGUUCCCAGCCCUGCACGUCUAAGCAUGGUGAUGAUAAUCAGUAUGGCACAAACAGCCAAAAUACUCAGGGAGACAGCUAAGUUCAGUGAAGAAUAUUUUAAUACUCUUUAUAAGACAUGCAAAGAUUCCUGUCUUGUUGAGCCACUAAAUAUUAAAAUAUUUCCAUGGAAGAGUUCUAUUGCUCUAUGGAGUUGCAUAUUUUUGCCUUUUUCCAUUUUUUAAAUUCUGAGAAGUAAUUUUGAAACAACAUGGAUUGCAAUUUUUUUUACACUUUCUUUCUGUGUUUCUGAAAGGCUCUUCAAACAUUGAUGUUUCCUUAAUUUAGCCAUCUCAUCUUUCCACAAGCAUUUUAUUAUUGAAUCUAAUUUGGUUCUAUAAAUGAUUGAUUAACUUGUGAAUUGUUCUAUGAUUUUGUGACUUCUUUUAAGGCCAUAAAGUGUUUCUCAUGUUAAUUAUUAUUAUUAUUUUUUAAAUCACAUAUGCCAGUGAACAAGUUAGUCAUGGCUAAUUAAGAAAGGAAGAUUUUUAAAGUUCUGGAAAGAGAAGUCUCCACUGGGGGUGUAACACUGAUAUUAUUUAACUCUGAAGGAAUACUUUGUAGAUGAGUACCAAGAGAAGAAAUUGUAGUUUAAUGGAAAAAAAUGUGAACUUUGCAUUCAAGUGGGCAAAGAUUUGAAUCCCACUUUGUCACUUACCGGUAGCAUGGUUUUUAGCAAGUUAUGUUAUUUUUUUGGAAUCCACAUUUCUUCAUUUAUAAAAUGAGGAUAAUAAUUUCAUAUUGUGGGAUGAGUGGCAUAGUAUUGAAUGAGAUCCUAUAUGUGAAACAUCUAUUGGAUUACCUCACAUAUUAGGAUUAAUUUAUAUAUCUACACUGGCCAUGGAAAUAUAACCUUGUCUAGUAUUAAAUGUAUGUAGGCUAGUACUCUUCCCCUAAUUUAUCUCAAUCUGCAGGUAUUAGUCCACCUAAUAUGUAUUCAUUAAUUUAAACAUUUAUUCAUUCAUUAAUUUUGUAGCAGGAUCAGCUAUUCAACUUAAUUUAUUGUAUUCUGCUUUUUUUUCUAUAAUAUUCUUGAUGAUCUCCAUAUUUCUGCUGCUAGAUCUUGCCCUUUAGGAGAUAACCAAAAUUAAAGAUUGCUUAGAACUUUUAAGUGUUUAUUUUUAAAUAAACGGAUGACCCAGGUAUGAAUCAAUGCAGCAUAUUUUUCUUAACGUAUGCAAAGAGACGUACUGUGUAUUAGAAGCCCACUUUCUUCAGGAGAAUGGGGCAGUGUUUUCGCUCUGGUUCUGUGCAGCCAUACAUAAGGACAUGAUUUCCUCUGGAGUCAGGACUGCUAGGUAGGAAAUGUUAACCAGUAAGUAAAUCAGUAAAGUAAAUUAGCCAUAAGGGUAAGUGCAGUAAUCUUAUAUGUAGGGAUAUUUUCACUGAGUAUUUCAGCUCUCUUAUACAAAAAUAAAGGCCAUUUAUAAAAAAUAACUUCUUACAUAAUCUUUGAAAGUGGCUUAACUAUAACAAAAAAUAAAAAAAGAAGGUGAUCUGGCAAACCUUAUGAGCUCAUUUGAACUUUUUUUUUUUUUUUAACACUUAUCUUGUCCUGAAUAAAUUAUUUUUUCAAGAAGCAAUGGAAUCAUGUUUUGUUCUGGAGUCUCAGUGCUAUUUCCCUGAUCCAAAUAUGAGCCUCUUAGAUGAGAAUCCAACAGCUUAGAAAUGCCGGGCCAUCUGAGAGAAGUGGGAGAUGGAGCUAAAUUCUGAACUGUGGCUAACACGUUAGAAUUGUAACUAACUGAAAGGAGAGUGUUGUCAUGAAAAUGGUGGAACAGGAGUUUUCUCCCAUCUACCCCUCAAAGAACACUGAUGUCGCAGUCAUCCAUGGAUGACAGAACCUUUGUGGAAGUCCAAGAUUCCAGUAGUGAAGUUCUAGCACACUGUUGGAACAAGAAAUUUCAAGAUUUGACACAUUCAAGAAGGUGAAAUAAAUAGCUUGACUCUACCCAUGUCAUCCCUCUGCCAGUACAGCACAGCUCAGGACUUCUUGACCUGUGAUUUUUCCCACAGAAGAAAGUGAGAGUGUGAGUGAGUGUCUAGCUUCAAGAUACUGCCAAAGAGGCCCACUUGUCUCUUGCCUCAUCCAGGUACUGAGUUGUGGGGAGGAUGAUGGGGAGAGUUCAGUGGCUGAGAGAAUAGGAGCAAAGGUCCAGAAUGUAACAUAUCAAAGGGAUGUGGAUCCUACUAACCACAUCACAGUCUCCAUCAGGAAGCCUGCCAUGAGCUGCUGGGAAUCCCCCCAACUCACUAACAGAAUACAAGGUCUAUAAAGGCAAGGGCAUUUCUGAUUGUUUUCUAAUGUAUCUCCAACUUCUAGAAGAGGACCUGGCAGUGUACCAUGAACAUCUCUUCCAUGCACAUGAGUGAAAGAUCCCCUCCUGAAAGACCAAAAACACUUGUAAUUGGAUCAAAAGGCUGCUGGUAACAAGAGUGACACCUAAAGCGAAGGAUCAGCCUGCCCAAUGCCAGCCACGGAAAGCAGGAAGAAAAUGGACUUCUUUUUGGUAGUUUUAAGAGUCUGGUUAAGAGCACCAUGAAAUAUCAGUGGAGACAUCCUGAUUUGGUGGAUCAACUGUCUCUGCAUUCCAGAUUCAGUUCCUCCACUUUUUGAAUUAAUGGCAUGUUUAUGAGCUGAAACACGAUGACGGAUAUAUGACAUGUGAAACAAAAGAAGACAGGAACAUAAUUAAAGGUAUGGGCUCUGGAAUCCUCAUCCUGAAUUUAAAUCCUGGCUUUGCCCUUACCCUCUCCUCCAACUGGUUGUACAAACUUGAGCAAAUUACUUUACCUGAGACUUGGUAUUCUGAUAUUUAAAGUGGGGUGGUCCCCGAAUAGCCAGGGGAAUUUUAAAAAAGAAAACCAUAUCUGGGGGGCAUCACAAUGCCAGACUUCAGGUUGUACUACAAAGCUAUGGUCAUCAAGACAGUGUGGUCCUGGCACAAAAAC
Molecule: long non-coding RNA, 3453 nt
Organism: Canis lupus familiaris (dog)
Lineage: Eukaryota; Metazoa; Chordata; Mammalia; Carnivora; Canidae
Exons: 6
Source: RefSeq, a predicted model, not a curated record